This 500-nucleotide ribosomal RNA is filed under the name bacterium enrichment culture clone 30. RNAcentral describes it as "bacterial SSU rRNA". It matches the Rfam family "Bacterial small subunit ribosomal RNA", at positions 8 to 525 of the family's 1533-position model. The record is from RNAcentral.
AGAGUUUGAUCAUGGCUCAGGAAGAACGCUGGCGGCGUGCUUAAUACAUGCAAGUCGAACGGAGACAGUAGCAAUAUUGUCUUAGUGGCGAACGGGUGAGUAACGCGUUGGUGACCUGCCUCGAAGAGAGGGAUAACAGUUCGAAAGGAUUGCUAAUACCUCAUGUGGUUGCUUGGGUUAGAGACCUUGCAACUAAACGGAUUUAUUCGCUUCGAGAGGGGCCUGCGUCCCAUCAGCUAGUUGGUAGGGUAAUGGCCUACCAAGGCGAUGACGGGUAGGGGACCUGAGAGGGUGGCCCCCCACAAUGGAACUGAAACACGGUCCAUACACCUACGGGUGGCAGCAGUAGGGAAUAUUGGUUAAUCUGGGAAACCGGGAACCAGCAACGCCGCGUGCGCGAUGAAGGCCUUCGGGUUGUAAAGCGCUUUUAGAGAGGAUGAGGAAGGACAGUACUCUCUGAAUAAGCCUCGGCUAACUACGUGCCAGCAGCCGCGGUAAUA